GACGAACGCUGGCGGCGUGCCUAACACAUGCAAGUCGAGCGGAGACAUGUUGCGGAAGUUUUCGGAUGGAAGCGAUAUGUUUUAGCGGCGGACGGGUGAGUAACGCGUGAGCAACCUUUCCUUCACAGGGGAAUAACGCACCGAAAGGUGCACUAAUACCGCAUGAGACCACAGCUCUGCAUGGAGCAGUGGCUAAAGGAGAAAUUCGCUUCAGGAUGGCCUCGCGUCCAAUUAGGCAGAUGGUGAGGUAACGGCCCACCAUGCCGACGAUUGGUAGCCGGACUGAGAGGUUGAACGGCCACAUUGGGACUGAGACACGGCCCAG
RNAcentral lists this ribosomal RNA (325 nucleotides) under uncultured bacterium. RNAcentral's name for it is "bacterial SSU rRNA". It matches the Rfam family "Bacterial small subunit ribosomal RNA", at positions 28 to 334 of the family's 1533-position model. The record is from RNAcentral.